Molecule: ribosomal RNA, 254 nt
Filed under: uncultured bacterium
Lineage: Bacteria
Description: partial 16S ribosomal RNA
Rfam family: Bacterial small subunit ribosomal RNA
Source: RNAcentral
UACGGAGGAUGCAAGCGUUAUCCGGAAUGAUUGGGCGUAAAGCGUCCGCAGGUGGCAAUGUAAGUCUGCUGUUAAAGAGUCUAGCUCAACUAGAUACAAGCAGUGGAAACUACAUAGCUAGAGUACGUUCGGGGCAGAGGGAAUUCCUGGUGUAGCGGUGAAAGUGCGUAGAGAUCAGGAAGAACACCGGUGGCGAAGGCGCUCUGCUAGGCCGUAACUGACACUGAGGGACGAAAGCUAGGGGAGCGAAUGGG